UGCGACAUGGACAAGUGGUUAAGUCGUCGGGCUCAUAACCCGAAGGUCGCUGGAUCGAAACCAGUUGUCGCAA
This is a transfer RNA of Neolecta irregularis DAH-3, 73 nucleotides long. It matches the Rfam family "tRNA". Rfam says of the family: Transfer RNA (tRNA) molecules are approximately 80 nucleotides in length. Their secondary structure includes four short double-helical elements and three loops (D, anti-codon, and T loops). The record is from Rfam. Lineage: Eukaryota; Fungi; Ascomycota; Neolectomycetes; Neolectales; Neolectaceae.